RNAcentral lists this microRNA (20 nucleotides) under Sphaeroforma arctica. RNAcentral also lists the same sequence under 2 other names. Lineage: Eukaryota; Ichthyosporea; Ichthyophonida. The record is from RNAcentral.
UCUCCAUUAAAUUGUCAUUG